RNAcentral lists this ribosomal RNA (495 nucleotides) under uncultured bacterium. Its description in RNAcentral is "partial 16S ribosomal RNA". It matches the Rfam family "Bacterial small subunit ribosomal RNA", at positions 28 to 507 of the family's 1533-position model. The record is from RNAcentral.
GACGAACGCUGGCGGCGUGCCUAAUACAUGCAAGUAGAACGCUGAAGGAGGAGCUUGCUUCUCUGGAUGAGUUGCGAACGGGUGAGUAACGCGUAGGUAACCUGCCUGGUAGCGGGGGAUAACUAUUGGAAACGAUAGCUAAUACCGCAUAAUAGUAGAUGUUGCAUGACAUUUGCUUAAAAGGUGCAAUUGCAUCACUACCAGAUGGACCUGCGUUGUAUUAGCUAGUUGGUGGGGUAACGGCUCACCAAGGCGACGAUACAUAGCCGACCUGAGAGGGUGAGCGGCCACACUGGGACUGAGACACGGCCCAGACUCCUACGGGAGGCAGCAGUAGGGAAUCUUCGGCAAUGGACGGAAGUCUGACCGAGCAACGCCGCGUGAGUGAAGAAGGUUUUCGGAUCGUAAAGCUCUGUUGUAAGAGAAGAACGAGUGUGAGAGUGGAAAGUUCACACUGUGACGGUAUCUUACCAGAAAGGGACGGCUAACUACGUG